Molecule: long non-coding RNA, 1363 nt
Filed under: Homo sapiens (human)
Lineage: Eukaryota; Metazoa; Chordata; Mammalia; Primates; Hominidae
Description: HSALNT0127549
Source: RNAcentral
CUGAGCUUUCGCUCACCAUCCACCACUGCUGUUUGCCACUGUCGCAGACCCACCGCCGACUCCCAUCCCUCUGGAUCCGGCAGGGUGUCCGCUGAGCUCCUGAUACGGCGAGACUCCCAUUGCCACUCCCGAUCAUGCUAAAGGCUUGCCAUUGUUCCUGCAACGUUAAGUGCCUGGGUUCGUCCUAAUCGAGCUGAACACUAGUCACUGGGUUCCAUGGUUCUCUUCCGUGACCCACGGCUUCUAAUAGAGCUAUAACACUCACUGCAUGGCCCAAGAUUCCAUUCCUUGGAAUCCGUGAGGCCAAGAACCCCAGGUCAGAGAAGACGAGGCUUGCCACCAUCUUGGAAGCGGCCCGCCACCAUCUUGGAAGUGGCUCGCCACCAUCUUGGGAGCUCUGUGAGCAAGGACCUCCGGUAACAUUUUGGCGACCACGAAGGGACAUCCAAAGCUUAUUGCCUAACGGUCCACAAUAAAACAUUCUCACUUUGGUAACUGUAUAAAAAUAGAAGUACAUUACAUAAAAAAGCUCACUAUCCUUGACAGAGAAGAAAGGACUUAGAACCGGAAUUCAACUUUGUGACCAUAAUCUGCCACCAGGGAAACCACAUGAGAAGAGAAGUUGUUCAAUUGUCCUGGGCAAUAGACUACUGGAGAGAUUUGAAGCUAAACUGCCUUAGUUCAAGUCUUAGUUCUGUCACACAGUAACCAGUUGAGCACAGAGUAUUCAUUAUCCUGAGGCCGAGAAUUUCUGGAUGAAUGUGGUUAAAUCACUGGAACAAUAAAGCAAGACAGUUAAGAAAAGCACCUGGCACAAACUAUUCUACUUCUACUGUUCAUCGGUUGAAAUGGUCAUCAAAAUGUAAUAAGUUGAUCGAAGACUCUCAGAUAUUACUUUAGAAUAUAUUCCUUUUAUGAAAGCUGCAUCUGUAUUUGACUUGGUAAGAUAAUAAAUUCAAGAAAAGCCCAACUGGGACCUCUAACAUACUCUUCUACAAUAUAUGAAUUUUAUACUAAAUAAGACUAUAAUAUUCUCCUCUACAAGUGGAAACCACAUCCCCAUAGGAAAUCGAGAUGCUAAACUAUUAAUAGUUUACCCAGGUUUUCUCUGCCUACCAUGGAACCUUAAACUUCAUCACAGCCUAAGCACUGUAAAACAUUAUAAUUUAUGUUCAUAUAAAUGAAACUCUCUAGACAUUCUUCAUCUUGUCUACUACUUAAUGUUUCUGAUGUUUUUAAGACAGAGAAGUUCUCUGCAUUCAACCUGAGAAAAGACAAUGUCAAAAUAAAUUUAUAUAUCAAAUAAAUACUGUCAGAAGCAUUGCUAUAAGUCUGGUAAUGUUUUAAAAUGUUGUGCCAGUAA